Molecule: long non-coding RNA, 1504 nt
Organism: Limulus polyphemus (Atlantic horseshoe crab)
Lineage: Eukaryota; Metazoa; Arthropoda; Merostomata; Xiphosura; Limulidae
Exons: 5
Source: RefSeq, a predicted model, not a curated record
CACACGCUCCCAGUGGCUUAGCUGCAAGUCUGCUGGCUUAUGACACUAAAAACUGGAUUUCGAUACCUGUAGUAGGCAAAGCACAGAUAGCCCAUUGUGCAGCUUUGUGCUUAACAACUUGUCUGCGAAUUGCACCUGAAGAUUGCUCCGAUCAGGAAACCGGAAUUCAGGAGAUAAACUAUUUUGUGGUCCAUGGUUUUAACGUCAAAUCAUGAAUAUCGAGGACCUAUGCUGGGUGCCGGUGACGAGAGUACAUCUUUGACAUUCAAGGAGAAAUAUACAGAUACUGCCGAUCAGACAUAGAUAUACUUUAACAGUGCUUGUCUUCAAUUCAGAGAAGAGUUUCUCGCAACCUGUGAAGUAGAUCCCUUCAGAUACACGACCACUGCUUCUGUAUGCAUGACUAUACAGAAGGUAAUGUAUACCACCACGAUUGAUAGCUCUCGUACCUAAUCAUGAAUGCUUUACGAUCAACAACUAUUGCCAAGUAAGUAUCCAAUGGUUAGGUUAUGUAUAAAAAUCUGAGGGGGUCAAGAUUCACGCACCUAAAGGUGGUGUGAAACAAAUCCUGAUGUAUAGAGUAGACAGUUUCUGUAUGGAACAAAACACGAUCUGUGAGUUUUAAGGGUGCUAUUACCAUGGUUGUAAUAAAUGUUAUAACUCUGAAACAAAGAAUGUAGUUGUAAAUAGACCCAUAUGCUAUAUUAGAAAUCGUACAUUAGAAAGAUGGGAACAACUCGAAGCUCUAGGAUGCAAGGUCAUAACAGUAUGGGAGCACGAGUUUAAGAAAAUGAAGUCUAAUGAUACAGAUUAAUUGAAUUUCUUUAGGGACCAUACAGUAGUUUCCCACCUGGAUGUACCAGACGCUUUUUAUGGAGGGAGAGUCAGCACGAAAACUUUUAUAUGAUAUAUAAGAAGGAGAAAUGAUCAAGUAACUGGAUUUUACAUCGCUAUAUCCAUGGGCAAACAUUGAGUAUCAAGUUGGACAUCCUACAAUAAUAACAAUAAAUUUCUCUAACUUAAAUGAUUAUUUUGGUUUUAUAAAAUGUAAAAUUAUAGCCCCGAGGAAACUAUAUCCUCCAGUUUUACUAUUUAGAAGUAAUGCUAAAUUAACCUUUCCUUUAUGUAGAUCAUGUGUGGAAUUCAAAUCAGGCCACCAUGUAACCACAACGAUGACAAGAGAGCUAUCAUCGGUACCUGGAUCACAGAAGAAGUAAAAAAAGCAGUCGAGUGCAGAUACCAGAUUCUGAUCGUCGUCAGUGUAAUAGGGUGAUGCGGCACAUUCAUCUCACUCCAUGGAAAUCUGGUAACGUCGACUAUCCCUACCUGUGAAGUAUGGCUACAUUGUUGAGAGAGAACUUUACCACUGUUUAUACAAAGGAGAGAGAGAAAGCCGAGAUAUUGAAAAGUCUUCCUUCUUACAAUAUGGAAUUGUUUGGAUGUCCCAAGGUUAAUCAAUUUCAAAAUAGACUCUGUCCUGUCCUUUUAAAAUACUAACAAUUAU